UGAAUGAUAUUUUUUCUAUGUACUUUUUAACCCUCAAUCUGGCGUCAAUCUCAGAUUGAUGGACUGAACUGAUGCCAGAUUGAGCGUGUAACCUACGACU
Aricia agestis (brown argus) is the source of this 100-nucleotide long non-coding RNA. RefSeq lists it as uncharacterized. The record is from RefSeq and is a predicted model, not a curated record. Lineage: Eukaryota; Metazoa; Arthropoda; Insecta; Lepidoptera; Lycaenidae. The transcript has 3 exons.